CUUUAACAAUUCCAUUUUUAUAUCAGGACCCCUUUGUUCACAGUUUCUUCAAUAUUACAAUCGGAUUCUAUCUAAGAAGGUUGAUGCUGUUAUUAGAACGAGGAGCUAGAAGCAGGUCUUCUGGUAGCAGAGGCCAUUUUUCUCUACCCUUCUUAUUCUUUCUUUGUUCUCCUUCGGGUUGGUGGUGGUGGUGAUCUUGAUGUAUUCUAUUUUCAUUUUAAAAGAGGCUGUGAUGAUCCAUCAAUCUUGAGCUCUACAUUGGCAUGGGAAACAUUUCCUAUCCUGGAUUCCAAUAUUUGCAUUUUUCCUUAAUUUUUACCAAAAUAUCGUCCUUUCAGAUGGCAAGGCAAACUCAGAAUAACAGCUGGUCCACAGGCAGCCGCUUGCAGCCAUUUUUUGCUUUAUUGGAGAGAGUUGGAGACUCGCAGGAUGAUGGAUGAAAAAUGCUUCGAGACACCUGUUAUGCACAUGCAGAGACCUCCAAAUACUGAUUUGGCAACUCCAUGAUCAACCGAACCCAAUUUAAGAAACGAGGGUGUGGGGAAUAGGGAAAUCUUCUUCUAUUUAGGGCAUGUUGACUUGGCAAAAUGGUAAAAUUGUUCUACUGUGAUUUAAAGAUCACCGGAGCAAUGGUCUGCCGAACUGUCCGGUUUGAGUAGUGCCAAGCUGACCCGGUGUGAAAUCGGGUCGGUUUGGUGUUUAUUUUCAGUUCCAGCCGGAACCAGUUCCGAACCGGCCGGAAAAUGUGUGAACUGGCCGGAGCCGGUGCGAGCUGGUCGAAAUCGUCGGGAACCAACCGGUUCUAUUCGAACUUGAUGCAAUCGGGCGGUUUGCACCGAGUCGAUCCGGUUUUGAACCGGGCUCCCUUUAUUCUUUUGUCUGUUGCCUUAUAUGUUGUUGGGAAGGCUUAAGAAAGCCUUCCCGACAAUAGGUGAAAGUGGCGGAGAGGUUUCCGCCACUUUUUCUUCUCAACAACUAAAAACUCACACUGAUUCAGCUAUCUAGCACACCAAUAAAAGAAAAACAAAAAGCAUCUACAACUCCAAUAGUGUGUUAACGAGGAGUCAGUUCACUCAGAUUCAAAGAUAACGAGUUGCAGUUCUGGUGGAUUUGAGCCCAUUUUAAGAUAUUAUGUUGCUUACUGGGCUACACAUUAUUAUGUUUUUUUUUUUUCUGUUUUUCAGAUUCAGAUGUAUGAUUGCUUGGGACUUGGGGAGUACGCUAAAUUUUUUGAAGAUACUUUCAGUCAUUAGAGUUUUAGUCAGUCUAGUUAGAAUAUUUCAUUUAAUUUAUAUUGACUUAUGUCACUUUAGAACUAUUAAGAAUCAUUUGGAUAAAUUCUUGAUUAAAUAAUUUUUUUAGAAUUAUUAUUGAUUUGA
Molecule: long non-coding RNA, 1379 nt
Organism: Phoenix dactylifera (date palm)
Lineage: Eukaryota; Viridiplantae; Streptophyta; Magnoliopsida; Arecales; Arecaceae
Source: RefSeq, a predicted model, not a curated record